This 327-nucleotide ribosomal RNA is filed under the name uncultured eukaryote. RNAcentral's name for it is "partial 18S ribosomal RNA". It matches the Rfam family "Eukaryotic small subunit ribosomal RNA", at positions 1470 to 1796 of the family's 1831-position model. The record is from RNAcentral.
CCCCUAGAUGUUCUGGGCCGCACGCGCGCUACACUGACGAAUGCAACGAGCUUAUAACCUUGGCCGAAAGGUCUGGGUAAUCUCCAAAUUUCGUCGUGAUGGGGAUAGAUUAUUGCAAUUAUUAAUCUUCAACGAGGAAUGCCUAGUAAGCGCAAGUCAUCAGCUUGCGUUGAUUACGUCCCUGCCCUUUGUACACACCGCCCGUCGCUCCUACCGAUUGAAUGGUCCGGUGAAGCGUUCGGACCGCUUCCUUUGGACGGGCAACCGUCUGUUGGUCGUGGGAAGUUCGUUAAACCUUAUCAUUUAGAGGAAGGAGAAGUCGUAACA